UACGGAGGGUGCAAGCGUUGUCCGGAAUCACUGGGCGUAAAGGGCGCGUAGGCGGCUCAUGAAGGCUGUGGUGAAAGUCCGGGGCUCAACCUCGGAUCGGCCGUGGCGACUCGUGGGCUGGAGCACUGUAGAGGCGGGUGGAAUUCCGGGUGUAGCGGUGGAAUGCGUAGAGAUCCGGAAGAACACCAGUGGCGAAGGCGGCCCGCUGGGCAGUGGCUGACGCUGAGGCGCGACAGCGUGGGGAGCAAACAUG
RNAcentral lists this ribosomal RNA (253 nucleotides) under uncultured bacterium. RNAcentral describes it as "partial 16S ribosomal RNA". It matches the Rfam family "Bacterial small subunit ribosomal RNA", at positions 524 to 776 of the family's 1533-position model. The record is from RNAcentral.